AACGCGAAGAACCUUACCAAGGCUUGACAUGCAGGGAAAAGCCGUAGAGAUAUGGUGUCCGUAAGGGUCCUGCACAGGUGGUGCAUGGCUGUCGUCAGCUCGUGUCGUGAGAUGUUGGGUUAAGUCCCGCAACGAGCGCAACCCUUAUCCUAUGUUGCCAGCGGAUUAUGCCGGGGACUCAUGGGAGACUGCCGGGGUCAACUCGGAGGAAGGUGGGGAUGACGUCAAGUCAUCAUGCCCCUUAUGUCUUGGGCUGCAAACAUGCUACAAUGGCCGGUACAAAGGGCUGCAAGACCGCGAGGUGGAGCGAAUCCCUUAAAGUGCGUCUCGGUUCGGAUUGCAGGCUGAAACUCGCCUGCAUGAAGGUGGAGUUGCUAGUAAUCGUGGAUCAGCAUUGCCACGGUGAAUACGUUCCCGGGCCUUGUACACACCGCUAGUC
Molecule: ribosomal RNA, 439 nt
Filed under: uncultured bacterium
Lineage: Bacteria
Description: bacterial SSU rRNA
Rfam family: Bacterial small subunit ribosomal RNA
Source: RNAcentral